This 1178-nucleotide long non-coding RNA is filed under the name Betta splendens (Siamese fighting fish). RNAcentral describes it as "lncRNA (ENSBSLG00000019722.1)". The record is from RNAcentral. Lineage: Eukaryota; Metazoa; Chordata; Actinopteri; Anabantiformes; Osphronemidae.
CCCCUCCAGUCCUGUUCCUGUUUGCGCACUGUCUGAACUCCGCCGAGGCAGAGACCGACCCGGUAAUCAAGGAGCAUCACUUCCGGGAAGCCGCCCUGCUCAUCGCGCGGAAGCCGGCACUGCGCGAGGCCCUGGGUUUCAUUGAACCCCCGUCAGAGCCUGCACCCGUUCCUGCGUCUAAGCCUGUACCCGUUCCUGCGUCUAAGCCUGCACCCGUUCCUGCGUCUAAGCCUGCACCCGUUCUUGCGUCUAAGCUUGCACCCGUUCCUGCGUCUAAGCCUGCACCACUGGCCCCAGCGUCUAAGCCUGCACCACUGGCCCCCGCGUCUCUGGCUGCAUCACUGGCCCCCGCGUCUCUGGCUGCAUCACUGGCCCCAGCGUCUCUGGCUGCAUCACUGGCCCCAGCGUCUCUGGCUGCAUCACUGGCUCCAGCGUCUCUGGCUGCAUCACUGGCCCCAGCGUCUCUGGCUGCAGCAACUCCCGCCUUAGCCUCAGCUCAGCCACGUCAAGCUCAAGCCUCAGCUCAGCCACGUCAAGCUCAAGCCUCAGCUCAGCCACGUCAAGCUCAAGUCUCAGCUCAGCCUGCAGCAGCUCAAGCCUCAGCUCAGCCUGCAGCAGCUCAAGCCUCAGCUCAGCCUGCAGCAGCUCAAGCCUCAGCUCAGCCUGCAGCAGCUCAAGCCUCAGCUCAGCCUGUAGCAGCUCAAGCCUCAGCUCCAGCUCAAGCUCAAGCCUCGGCCCCGCCACGCCACGCCAAGUUCAAGCUUCAUCUUUACGCCAGCUAGUGGACACCCCUGGCCAGCCACACCAGGCCUCAGUUCCUGUUCCCGUCAGCCAAGUAGAGGUCGUUCCAGUCCCUGUCCCCGUCGGCCAAGUAGCGGCCGUUCCAGUUCCUGUCGGCUCCUCGGAGGAGGACGCCGUUCUAGUUCCUGUCGGCUCCUCGGAGGAGGACGCCGUUCUAGUUCCUGUCGGCUCCUCGGCAGCCUCGCCUUCACGUCUGUCCUCGCCUCUGGUCCCAGCCUCGUCUCCACGUCUGUCCUCGCCUCUGGUCCCAGCCUCGUCUCCACGUUGGUCCUCGCCUCUGGUCCCAGCCUCGUCUCCACGUCGGUCCUCGCCUCUGGUUCCGGUCUUGUCUCCACGCCAGGCCUCGUCUCCACGCCGGUCUUCGUCGCUGUUCCCGG